AUGUACCACUCGUACAAUCCGGUUCCUGCGCGCCGUCCGCGCCCACCUGGCGGCU
The sequence is a small RNA, 55 nucleotides long. It matches the Rfam family "Xanthomonas sRNA sX9", at positions 1 to 55 of the family's 76-position model.